This 998-nucleotide ribosomal RNA is filed under the name Malaciobacter molluscorum. RNAcentral describes it as "bacterial SSU rRNA". It matches the Rfam family "Bacterial small subunit ribosomal RNA", at positions 38 to 1044 of the family's 1533-position model. Lineage: Bacteria; Pseudomonadati; Campylobacterota; Epsilonproteobacteria; Campylobacterales; Arcobacteraceae. The record is from RNAcentral.
GGAAUGCGGGUGCUACCAUGCAGUCGACGAGAACGGAUUAUAGCUUGCUAUAAUUGUCAGCUAAGUGGCGCACGGGUGAGUAAUAUAUAGGUAACGUGCCUUCAAGAAGGGGAUAACAGAUGGAAACGCCUGCUAACACCCUAUAUGCCUUUAAUACAAAAGUAUGCAAGGGAAAUAUUUAUAGCUUGAAGAUCGGCCUGUACAGUAUCAGUUAGUUGGUGAGGUAAUGGCUCACCAAGACAAUGACGCUUAACUGGUUUGAGAGGAUGAUCAGUCACACUGGAACUGAGACACGGUCCAGACUCCUACGGGAGGCAGCAGUGGGGAAUAUUGCACAAUGGGGGAAACCCUGAUGCAGCAACGCCGCGUGGAGGAUGACACAUUUCGGUGCGUAAACUCCUUUUAUAUAGGAAGAUAAUGACGGUACUAUAUGAAUAAGCGCCGGCUAACUCCGUGCCAGCAGCCGCGGUAAUACGGAGGGCGCAAGCGUUACUCGGAAUCACUGGGCGUAAAGAGCGUGUAGGCGGAUAAAUAAGUCAGAAGUGAAAUCCAAUAGCUCAACUAUUGAACUGCUUUUGAAACUGUUUAUCUAGAGUAUGGGAGAGGUAGAUGGAAUUUCUGGUGUAGGGGUAAAAUCCGUAGAGAUCAGAAGGAAUACCGAUUGCGAAGGCGAUCUACUGGAACAUAACUGACGCUGAGACGCGAAAGCGUGGGGAGCAAACAGGAUUAGAUACCCUGGUAGUCCACGCCCUAAACGAUGUACACUAGUUGUUGCUAUGCUCGACAUAGCAGUAAUGCAGUUAACACAUUAAGUGUACCGCCUGGGGAGUACGGUCGCAAGAUUAAAACUCAAAGGAAUAGACGGGGACCCGCACAAGCGGUGGAGCAUGUGGUUUAAUUCGACGAUACGCGAAGAACCUUACCUGGUCUUGACAUAGUAAGAAGUCUUUAGAGAUAAAGAUGUGUCUGCUUGCAGAAACUUAUAUACAGGGUGCUGC